This 231-nucleotide ribosomal RNA is filed under the name uncultured bacterium. RNAcentral describes it as "partial 16S ribosomal RNA". It matches the Rfam family "Bacterial small subunit ribosomal RNA", at positions 15 to 240 of the family's 1533-position model. The record is from RNAcentral.
GAUUCAUGGCUCAGGACGAACGCUGGCGGCGCGCCUAACACAUGCAAGUCGAACGAGCGAGAGAGAGCUUGCUUUAUCAAGCGAGUGGCGAACGGGUGAGUAACGCGUGAGGAACCUGCCUCAAAGAGGGGGACAACAGUUGGAAACGACUGCUAAUACCGCAUAAGCCCACAGCUCGGCAUCGAGCAGAGGGAAAAGGAGCAAUCCGCUUUGAGAUGGCCUCGCGUCCGA